Molecule: long non-coding RNA, 1331 nt
Filed under: Macaca fascicularis (crab-eating macaque)
Lineage: Eukaryota; Metazoa; Chordata; Mammalia; Primates; Cercopithecidae
Description: lncRNA (ENSMFAG00000055664.1)
Source: RNAcentral
CACUUUCUUCAUCUGUAAAAUGGAUCUUCCUCCUUCAACAAAUGCCCCAGGAAAAAGUAUAAUACAGCUCCUCUAACUUCCACACAUAAUAAAACUUUCUCAAAAAGCAACCGUGCUGGGCGUCUAGGGGAGAUACCAGGAGGGUGGCAUACGUGUUGGGAGGUCCCUGUGUCACAGGCUUGCUGCAAUUCACAUCCUCCCAGAAACUGCAAGGGAACAGCCACCUUCUGGCCUUGACAGUUUCAGAAUUUCAGAGGAGGGUCCCUGGAUCCUUGGCAGCUGGGAGGAAUUGACAGGCCCUGUGGUAUGGGAGGUGGAGGCACACCCAGGACAGUCUGGCAGGGGUGGAAACCUCUCUGCCACACAGCUGAGUGUCCCCACCACCUCCAUCUCUCUGAGCUUCAAUUCCUUGAUUUUUAAGGUAAGGAUAAUAAUGCUGGCCUCAUGUGCCAGGGUAGGGGAGAAAAACUGAGAAGACAGAGGGGUCACAUUUACGCGGUUCAUUGUUCUAUCCCUGGUGCCCAGUUGGCCUCCAGUAAAUGUUUGUUGAAUGAAUGCAAGUGAAGUGCACAGUUCAGGGACUGCUGUAGAAUCAAUGGCUGCUGCCAUCAGUCCCCACUCCCCUGCCCCCAGCUCUACCUCCAUCGCCAUCAGUGGCAGUUACUGGCUCUGACAUUUUGCACUCUCAGGGGGUCCUCACCUCACCCCAGCCCUGUAUUCCGUCCAAUUCAGCUUCACUGGGUUGGUGGGGAGCUGUCCAUGCCUCUCAUCACGCUCUGCUCUCUGCGGCUGCCAGAAGCCUCCAUUGUUUGCCCCACCAGAUGCCGAGGUGUGCUGUGAAAGCUGUCUCCCAAAAGGAAGCAGGGGUAUCUGGACCUCAGCCGGGGUCACCCACCGCUGCCCUGCCCUGCCCUGCCUGCCCUGACGGAGCAAGAGCCUGUCUCAGAAGACAAACCAACCAACAAACAAAAGCCAACACAGGAGAAGGGGGCAGGAUGCGGGCUUCCUACUUCUCUCUACCCUUAGUGAGUAUGCAUUUUGCUAAGGAUCAAGUAUUGGUGCCCUCCAUGGACACCACAAGGAAGGGAGCGACUCCUGCAGGCUUCUUUGUGUAGCUCUGGGGUCUAGAAGGACUGAUUCUGGCCAGAAACAACAAGACCUCUUUCUUGGGCAUGAGGCUGGGGUGGGGGCUCCUCUAAGCCUCUUAAGAGGUACCUGGGGCCGGGCACGGUGGCUCACACCUAUAAUCCCAGCAUUUUGGGAGGCCAAGGUGGGUGGAUCACCUGAGGUCAGGAGUUUGAGACCAGUCUGGCCAACAUGGCAAAACCCUG